GGACCAAACACUCCAAUGCCUCCUUUGAAAGAGGAGAAGUUGUAAUAGCAUAGUAAUCAAAAAAUAUCUGCAACGUUGAUGGAUCCUCUAAUAUUGGCCUCCAAGAUGAUGGAAUCUGAACAGUACCAAAUUCCUCUGAACUUUCAUCAAUUGAUGUCCCAACAAAAUCAAAAGAUAAGCAUUUGAGAGAAAGAGAAAGUGCCAACUCUUGCAAUCGACUUGCAACGUCAUUUUUCAAUUGUCGGAGUGAGGUUAAAGAUAUUUGGAAUAUUUGGUAAAGUGACUGAUCCCUAAAGGAGCAGGC
RNAcentral lists this unclassified non-coding RNA (304 nucleotides) under Hevea brasiliensis (rubber tree). Lineage: Eukaryota; Viridiplantae; Streptophyta; Magnoliopsida; Malpighiales; Euphorbiaceae. The record is from RNAcentral.